AACCAUCUCCCAUGGCAGCCACGUCUCCCUCUCUCCUCCCUCAGCUCGCUGGUGCUUGCCGCACAGUCUCGAGCUCCCCAUGGUGCGCGGUCCUGGUCCAGCCCCUGUUCUUCUCUCUUCUCCUCCACCGCAUCCUUCUCCCUAGACACCCCUUCGGCCGAGCAUCCUCUCUGCCGGAGCUGCCUCAACGCCCGCACUCCUUCAGGUUCUUCCAUGGCGAUCGUCGUUGAACUCCGUGCGCGCGCCUGCUCCUAUGCCGCGACCCCCAGUUCCCUCCCAUGGUGCUCUUCCUCGGCCACUGCUUCCCCAGCCACGAGUUCCCCCUGCUCGGCAUCUCCUCGAGAUUGCCUUAGCUCGAUGCCCAGUUUCUUUCUCCAUCGCGCCCUGCUCGAUUUCACCCCUGUGUCGCGUGCCCUGGCAUCUGCGUGCUCCGCGCGCGCCCCUUCCUCCUGCUUGGAUCCGACCAUCAUUCUGGCAGCUGGCCACGCCCCUGCCCCUGCUUCUCCCUCGCCAGCGCGCGUCCUCUGCUAAAUCGUCUCUAGCUCGCCCUGGAUGGCAUUCCUCUCCCUGCGCACAGCUGCGAGCUCCGCUCUGUCGCUCGGUCCUUGCUGUAGCUCGCGCCCAGCUUCCCUAUGCGCGCUUAGCUUGGAGCUCCCGCAGCCUAGCUCGGGUCUUUUCCAUGGCCACGCGCACCUCAAGCUCGACUCUCUGGUGUCGCACGCGUGCCUCUUGUUCGCCCCUGCUUGGACUGUGUUCACCCUCUGCAUGUGUCGAGCUCCUCUGUUGUGUGCGCGAAUCUGUUGUGUGCGCAAAGUUCUCUGCUUGCAAUGGCGUGUCGAGCUUCCGUGUCGAGCUCCUCUCUUCCGUGCCGGUCGUCGUCUCCGAGCCGAUUCUUGGCUGUCGCAGUAUUUUUAGUUAUCCGGCUGCGUCUGUGGUCGUCAAGUGUGUCUGUUGCCGUGAACUCGCCUGUGGUGCCCACUCUGUCUCUGGUCCGCGCUUCCUUCAGCUCGGCCAGGCGGGGCAUCGUUCCGUGCUGUGCUCGCCCAAGUCGUUGCCGUCAAAUCAUCGGAGUCGCUCAACUCGCCAAUCGCAUCUUGGCCGAUUGUCAAUUUUCUAUUUGCCAUGGUACAACACAACUAUUAGAUCUGAUCUCCAAACCGCCAUGGCGUCCGUCGUCCUCUGCUCCCAGCCCGACCUAUCUGUGCGCUCUCUCUUCGUCCAUCGGGCUUCGCGCGUGCUCGCAUUUAUCGUCGGGUUGUUGAACCCGUCCUUCCUUGCUUGUGACUUCGUCAUCGCCAGAGCCCUCACUGGAUUCGUGUCCUCGCCAGCUCACUCCAAAUUCGGUCUCGUCGUCGUUCCGUGCGUCAUCAAGAAAUCCCAAGAAUCUGGUGAAGAUGAAGCUAGCAGGGUGAUAUUCACCAAGUACUCGACAAAAGCUCGCACAAGUCGUCGAUCGACAUCCUCGUCUACGCCAAGCCCCUAAGCUGUGAAGACACUCUGGUGCUGGCCACACGUCACCAGCUCAACAAAAGGAAUACAUGGAUAUUUGGUCAAGAAUAGAAACUGUGUGCCUCGCUCGCCAGACGGGUGUGAUCAAUGACGUCGACCAGAAACCGUCAUCGUGCUUCCAACUAUCGCGUCGAAGUAGUCAGGGUAUGUUAAUUAAUCACGUGAUGUGGAAGACGACCCAAGUCGACCCCAAGCGCGGGCUACUCCGCAUAGUAAAGCGAAUGGACGAACCUGAAGAUGGGAUGAUCUGAUCAAGUGCUAGGACAAGGAUGAUCGUCAAGUGAACAUCAUCUAACAACACUAACCUAGUGUUACCCAGGCAAGCCCCGGUGCAUUUGCCACCUCCUUGUGUUUUAAAAUCUUUAUCACCUUGUUUGAUGCAUUAGGUGAUAGGAGUUGUGUGCUAAACCGUUGAUGCAUUUCCUUCCUUGGAAAAUUGAAUACCCUUCCUUGACACCCUUUUAUAAAAAUGAUUUUUGAUGCUUAGCCUUGCUUUAGCAAACAAAAAUGUUUUCUUUUAAAACAAAGGUGACGCUUCAGUGGGUGGGAAUGUUUUUAAAAAUAAAACUUGAUGGUGAAUCCAUCAUGGUCGUGAUGGGUUCAACAACAGAAAAGAUGUACCUCUGCCAGAUACCAAACUUUGCGUUGAAAAUAAUAAAGCUGAGACCGGGCGGUUGACUUGCACGAGAAAGGAGUCUCGGUGUAGUGUCUCCGUCUGAGUCGAUUAAGGACCUUGUCGAUGUAGGCUUGCUGAUCGAGGACCCUGUUGGGGGUCUUCGUCCUCCGAAGGUCCUCAAAAACAUGAUUUGACAAUGUUUUCCAAGUGGAUUAUGUGAACAGGUAUCUUCGGACUCAGAAUUACGAACAUGAAGUGCGGUCAGGACGAAGCCUGAACCAGACGAAGGACGGGCUGAUUACCAAGCUCCACAAAGGAUGGUGCACAGCCGAAGCUGUGUGCAGAGAAGCUUCGUCGCGAUAAUAGAGGGGGGAACCGACUUAAAGAUGAAAAGACUACGUGGACCUUGUCAGAUUUCCAUAAGUCAUUGACAAAUGUAAUGGACAUAAAUGUAAUUUUACGUGGGCUGCGUCCCGCGUCUAUAAAUAGAUGAACAGUACUCCCGUACUGUUCAGGCUGACUUGGCAUUUGCUUUUGCGUC
RNAcentral lists this unclassified non-coding RNA (2666 nucleotides) under Zea mays. Its description in RNAcentral is "misc RNA Zm00001eb308080". Lineage: Eukaryota; Viridiplantae; Streptophyta; Magnoliopsida; Poales; Poaceae. The record is from RNAcentral.